CUGCCCCCCACUGCCCCCCUUCUGUUCCAUAGAAGGGGUGGGGCCUUCCAUGGGGGAUCCUCAGAGUCUGUCGAAUUGUUUGGGGCAGGGGCAUCAUUUUCUUUGGCUGACCAGCUGUUUCUUCUCUUUUGGAGCAAAUGGGGAACUCAGCUGUGAAUAGGGUUAGUUCAGUGAAUGUGUUAGAGGUCAGGCGAAGACUCCAGGGAGAGAGUUGAAACCAAACUACGCCAGUCCUGGUUACUCCCUGGAACACUGGCAUCACUGGAGAGCUUUUUAGAUGUGGAGAAAUCCCAGAACACAUCCCAAUCCUCUGUUCCCAUGAUCCAUUGAGUCAGAACCGGCAUUUACCAGAUGCCAGGUGGUUUAAGCCUGCGAUGAACUUUGGAAUGUGUUGCCCUCAGGGGAUCAGGAUUAAGCUAUUGGAUAUUCACAACACAGCCUGAGUUGAGAUUUUCUCAGAAUUCUCUUACAGGGCCAAACAAAGAAUCAGGGAAUGACUGGCCUACAGAAAAGGGACUAACAAUGCCUGGGUCUCUCCUAUGUUGCUCUCAGACGUGUUUCCGUGAGGGAGGUCUGGAAAGUCCACCAGCUUCACAGUCAGGAGACUGCAGUCGAGGCUUCCCUGACCAGGGUGGUGAGAGCGUGGGCGUCUACGGAUAUAAACAGUCGAGUCUCAACUGCGUGAACAGAUUGUGCAAUUUCACACGGGCUUCUGGCUUUGCCGUGAAGUGGAACACGCUGCCCAUUGUCUCCUUGUCUCUUCUUGCAAAUGAUGGAUUUUCUCCUGUGGCAAGUCGUCGCGGGGAGAGGUCAGACAAUUCUGCGAAGUAUAAAGGGUCUUGAGAGGUCUCUUGCUCCAACCCUGCCCUCUGACAGAAUUAUGUUCAAGCCAUUCCCGCACGGAAAAGGGAAUAACAAAACCUCUCUCCCCCUUUUCUCAAGAGGGUCUUGUGUAAGGUCUUAAGUUUCAAGACAAGCUGGUUAACCAAGUCCAGAGGACUUUGCUGUGAAACACCCAGUUUGAAGCAGACACAGCAAGGAAGGCCCGGGGGACAAAUAAAAUCAGUGAUGGGCGCUUUGCAGACAGGGACCGAAGCGCGGGGCAGAGAGGCUGGGGUUGGGUGAGCUGGAUGUAGCUUGAAAGGCGCCAGGUGAGGCUGGACUCAGUACACGUGGUUUAUAAAUUAGAUACGCCUGCCAGUCACUUGGGCUCCGUGCAGUAGACAGAAAGAGCAGCUGACAUCUCCGUGGUGGGGGACUACCGUGGGUUGCACCCACCAUGCCGCCACACACAGAUGGACACAGAUGAUCAUUUUUCUAUACAGUCUGAAGUGGCUAUCCCCCAUUUACACACAAGAACACGGGGAAGGAGUGAUCCCAAGGCUCCUUGUAACCUUGUGUCCGAGGAGAAACCUACUUUUAAAAGAAGAUUUAUUUUUCCUCUUGAAUCGUGUGUGUGCGUGAGUGUGUGCGUGUGUGUGCGUGAGUGCAGGCACCUGCAGAGGGGAGGGGCACUGGCUGGCCCUCGAGCUGGAGUUGCAGGUGGCUGUGGGUGCUGGGAACUGAACUCCUGUUCUCUGCAAGAGCAGAGCACACUCUUCACCAUGGAGACAGGGCUCCGCCCCCCAAGCCUUACUCCCUUCGAUGACAGCUUUGAGGUUUAGAAACAGGGCUUCUCCAUGUAGCCCUGGCUGUCCUGGAACUCACUCUGUAGACCAGGGCUGGCCUCGAACUCACAGAGAUCUGCCUGCUACUGCUGGAAUUAAAGGUGUGUGUGCCACCACCGCCUGGCUGAAGCUUCUUUCUUUUGCCCAAAGGUUGUCAAGAGAAACUGCCUUUUAGAUAAGCAGUAGCUGUAUAAUUUUAGGUCAGUCAGUUUUGCGGCAAUUUCCCCUCUGUGGACGAAUGAGGUUCCCUUAAGAGUUUGCACAGACUUUGUGUAUUUGAGUUCAGAAUUAAUUCUCCCUUUGUCACCCUUGCCCCUGUUACAUAAUCAUUUAUUUUGCUUUCUGUGUAUGACUGUUUUGCCUGCGUGUAUGUGUGUAUAGCACAUGUGUGUCUGAUGCCUACAGAAGGCAGAAGCGGGCAUCAGAUCUCCUGGAACUGGAGUUACGGAGAGCUGGGAGCUGCCAUGUGGGUGCUAAGAACCGCAUCCAGGUUUCUGGAAGAGCAGCCAGUGCUCUUAACUGUGGAGGCAUUGCGUCAGGACCCCAGCCCCCAUCCCCUGUGAGGACCACAGGAGGCGGACUGUGUGUGCAGUUGGAGCCCUCGGCCUCCCUUUGUGAAUUGUCGUCUGUCUGAGGGGUGGUGAGCGGGGUCCCGUUUCCUCCCUGUGGGCUGCAGAUGGAAUCUCAGACACUCUGUUCCUUGCUGAGUUCUGUCAGCCUCCCUGAGGUGUACAAUCCCUUUGGAGGGCCCAGCUUCCAGCCUGUCCUUUUAAUAAGUGAACACCCACACAUUCAAUGCCCCUGCCACCAUCCUCGCUACAGUGGGCUCAUCAUUGACGUUAAGCUGUUUAUUACAAGGCAAUGAAAAAAUAAAGCUUUUUGUUUCUUCAAAAA
Long non-coding RNA from Mesocricetus auratus (golden hamster), 2561 nucleotides. RefSeq lists it as uncharacterized. Lineage: Eukaryota; Metazoa; Chordata; Mammalia; Rodentia; Cricetidae. The record is from RefSeq and is a predicted model, not a curated record. The transcript has 3 exons.